GGAUGAUCCGCCACACUGGGACUGAGACACGGUCCAGACUCCUACGGGAGGCAGCAGUGGGGAAUUUUGGACAAUGGGGGCAACCCUGAUCCAGCCAUGCCGCGUGAGUGAAGAAGGCCUUCGGGUUGUAAAGCUCUUUCAGCCGGGAAGAAAACGCAUGGGUUAAUACCCUGUGUAGAUGACGGUACCGGAAUAAGAAGCACCGGCUAACUACGUGCCAGCAGCCGCGGUAAUACGUAGGGUGCGAGCGUUAAUCGGAAUUACUGGGCGUAAAGCGUGCGCAGGCGGUUUUGUAAGACAGGCGUGAAAUCCCCGGGCUUAACCUGGGAACUGCGUUUGUGACUGCAAGGCUAGAGUACGGCAGAGGGGGGUGGAAUUCCACGUGUAGCAGUGAAAUGCGUAGAGAUGUGGAGGAACACCAAUGGCGAAGGCAGCCCCCUGGGUCGAUACUGACGCUCAUGCACGAAAGCGUGGGCAGCAAACAGGAUUAGAUACCCUGGUAGUCCACGCCCUAAACGAUGUCAACUAGGUGUUGGGAGGGUAAAACCUUUUAGUACCGGAGCUAACGCGUGAAGUUGACCGCCUGGGGAGUACGGCCGCAAGGUUAAAACUCAAAGGAAUUGACGGGGACCCGCACAAGCGGUGGAUGAUGUGGAUUAAUUCGAUGCAACGCGAAAAACCUUACCUACCCUUGACAUGCCAAGAACUUUCCAGAGAUGGAUUGGUGCCCGAAAGGGAACUUGGACACAGGUGCUGCAUGGCUGUCGUCAGCUCGUGUCGUGAGAUGUUGGGUUAAGUCCCGCAACGAGCGCAACCCUUGUCGUUAAUUGCCAUCAUUUAGUUGGGCACUUUAACGAGACUGCCGGUGACAAACCGGAGGAAGGUGGGGAUGACGUCAAGUCCUCAUGGCCCUUAUGGGUAGGGCUUCACACGUCAUACAAUGGUCGGUACAAAGGGUCGCCAAGCCGCGAGGUGGAGCCAAUCCCAGAAAGCCGAUCGUAGUCCGGAUCGCAGUCUGCAACUCGACUGCGUGAAGUCGGAAUCGCUAGUAAUCGUGGAUCAGAAUGUCACGGUGAAUACGUUCCCGGGUCUUGUACACACCGCCCGUCACACCAUGGGAGCGGGUUCCGCCAGAAGUAGGUAGCCUAACCGCAAGGAGGGCGCUUACCACGGCGGGGUUCGUGACUGGGGUGAAGUCGUAACAAGGUA
RNAcentral lists this ribosomal RNA (1209 nucleotides) under metagenome. RNAcentral describes it as "bacterial SSU rRNA". It matches the Rfam family "Bacterial small subunit ribosomal RNA", at positions 298 to 1498 of the family's 1533-position model. The record is from RNAcentral.